AGCGAACGCUGGCGGCAGGCUUAACACAUGCAAAUCGAGCGGGCAUCCUUGUGGUGUCAGCGGCAGACGGGUGAGUAACGCGUGGGAACGUGCCCUUCGGUUCGGAAUAACUCAGGGAAACUUGAGCUAAUACCGGAUACGUGCGAGAGCAGAAAGGUUUAUCUGCCGAAGGAUCGGCCCGCGUCUGAUUAGCUAGUUGGUGAGGUUACGGCUCACCAAGGCGACGAUCAGUAGCUGGUCUGAGAGGAUGAUCAGCCACACUGGGACUGAGACACGGCCCAGACUCCUACGGGAGGCAGCAGUGGGGAAUAUUGGACAAUGGGGGCAACCCUGAUCCAGCCAUGCCGCGUGAGUGAUGACGGCCUUAGGGUUGUAAAGCUCUUUUCUCCGGGACGAUAAUGACGGUACCGGAGGAAUAAGCCCCGGCUAACUUCGUG
Molecule: ribosomal RNA, 437 nt
Filed under: uncultured bacterium
Lineage: Bacteria
Description: partial 16S ribosomal RNA
Rfam family: Bacterial small subunit ribosomal RNA
Source: RNAcentral